RNAcentral lists this ribosomal RNA (465 nucleotides) under Vreelandella stevensii. RNAcentral's name for it is "partial 16S ribosomal RNA". It matches the Rfam family "Bacterial small subunit ribosomal RNA", at positions 338 to 795 of the family's 1533-position model. Lineage: Bacteria; Pseudomonadati; Pseudomonadota; Gammaproteobacteria; Oceanospirillales; Halomonadaceae. The record is from RNAcentral.
CCUACGGGGGGCAGCAGUGGGGAAUAUUGGACAAUGGGGGGAACCCUGAUCCAGCCAUGCCGCGUGUGUGAAGAAGGCCCUCGGGUUGUAAAGCACUUUCAGUGAGGAAGAACGCCUGGUGGUUAAUACCCAUCAGGAAAGACAUCACUCACAGAAGAAGCACCGGCUAACUCCGUGCCAGCAGCCGCGGUAAUACGGAGGGUGCGAGCGUUAAUCGGAAUUACUGGGCGUAAAGCGCGCGUAGGUGGCUUGAUAAGCCGGUUGUGAAAGCCCCGGGCUCAACCUGGGAACGGCAUCCGGAACUGUCAAGCUAGAGUGCAGGAGAGGAAGGUAGAAUUCCCGGUGUAGCGGUGAAAUGCGUAGAGAUCGGGAGGAAUACCAGUGGCGAAGGCGGCCUUCUGGACUGACACUGACACUGAGGUGCGAAAGCGUGGGUAGCAAACAGGAUUAGAUACUCGAGUAGUC